Molecule: ribosomal RNA, 1406 nt
Filed under: uncultured bacterium
Lineage: Bacteria
Description: bacterial SSU rRNA
Rfam family: Bacterial small subunit ribosomal RNA
Source: RNAcentral
AGAGUUUGAUCCUGGCUCAGGAUGAUUUCUAGCUACAGGCUUAACACAUGCAAGUCGAGGGGCAGCAUGGUCGUUGCUUGCAAUGACCGAUGGCGACCGGCGCACGGGUGAGUAACGCGUAUCCAACCUUCCCCCUACCCGGGUAUAGCCCGCCGAAAGGCGGAUUAAUCCCCGAUACGUCCUCCGACGGCAUCAGAUGAGGACGAAAGGUUUUCCGGUAAGGGAUGGGGAUGCGUCCGAUUAGCUUGUUGGCGGGGUAACGGCCCACCAAGGCGACGAUCGGUAGGGGUUCUGAGAGGAAGGUCCCCCACAUUGGAACUGAGACACGGUCCAAACUCCUACGGGAGGCAGCAGUGAGGAAUAUUGGUCAAUGGGCGGAAGCCUGAACCAGCCAAGUAGCGUGCAGGAUGACGGCCCUACGGGUUGUAAACUGCUUUUUUGCGGGAAUAAAGCGGCUCACGCGUGGGCCUUUGCAUGUACCGCACGAAUAAGGACCGGCUAAUUCCGUGCCAGCAGCCGCGGUAAUACGGAAGGUCCGGGCGUUAUCCGGAUUUAUUGGGUUUAAAGGGAGCGUAGGCCGCCUUUUAAGCGUGCUGUGAAAUACCGUUGCCCAACAACGGGGCUGCAGCGCGAACUGGAGGGCUUGAGUUCACGGGAAGCCGGCGGAAUUCGUCGUGUAGCGGUGAAAUGCUUAGAUACGACGAAGAACUCCGAUUGCGAAGGCAGCCGGCUGUAGUGUUACUGACGCUGAAGCUCGAAAGUGCGGGUAUCGAACAGGAUUAGAUACCCUGGUAGUCCGCACAGUAAACGAUGAAUGCUAGCUGUCCGGGUCGAAUGAGACCUGGGUGGCACAGCGAAAGCGUUAAGCAUUCCACCUGGGGAGUACGCCGGCAACGGUGAAACUCAAAGGAAUUGACGGGGGCCCGCACAAGCGGAGGAACAUGUGGUUUAAUUCGAUGAUACGCGAGGAACCUUACCCGGGCUCAAACGCCACCGGGAUUAUCUCUGAAAGGAGAUAAGCCAGCAAUGGCCGGUGGCGAGGUGCUGCAUGGUUGUCGUCAGCUCGUGCCGUGAGGUGUCGGCUUAAGUGCCAUAACGAGCGCAACCCCUAUCCUAUGUUACCAGCGGGUAAUGCCGGGGACUCAUAGGAGACUGCCAAGGACAACUUGGAGGAAGGCGGGGAUGACGUCAAGUCAUCAUGCCCCUUAUGUCUUGGGCUACACACGUACUACAAUGGUCGGCAACAGAGGGAAGCGAAGCCGUGAGGCAGAGCAAACCCCAGAAACCCGAUCUCAGUUCGGAUUGCAGGCUGCAACUCGCCUGCAUGAAGUCGGAAUCGCUAGUAAUCGCAGGUCAGCAUACUGCGGUGAAUACGUUCCCGGGCCUUGCACACAAAGCCCGUCAAG